GCGGUCGAAACAGGUUCGCUCCGUCACAGCAGCCUGUCAAAGCGAGACGGGGUCGGACGAAGGGGUCGGACGAAGGGGGGGGAGGGGGUCGUUGUCUUUGCUCCACGCGUGACACACGGACGGCGUCUGGAUCGUUAAGGCAAUCACGUCGGAGGUGGCGACGGCGGGGGGCGAAGGGGGGCGACUCUCUCCCCACGUGUUCCCCGCUGUGUAGUGGCCGAGCGGUCAAUUAUCGCCGCUACCGAACAGCCUUGCAGCAGCAUCAGCAGCCUUUCAGCAGCGGCAGCAGCAGCAGCAGUGUUGGCUAUCAUUUGUUUCUGAUGUCCAGUUGGGGCGGAUCAAGCUGGCGAGUGUGGGUUGGUGAAGGAAGACGCUUGGUAGGGAGCCCCAUGACCAGUUCGGACAUCACUCGUCACUGAUGUUCGCGAUUGGCGAGAAUCAUAGCCAGGUCACCGGAUUAUUAUUUUACUACAACCAUUUGUCAUUCCAUUGUUGGAUGAAAGCUUCCCCGUGCCAUGUCGAUAAUGGGAGUUUUUUUUUUUUGACCCAAACUUCAUCACGCCGGUCAGUAAGGCAGAGGUCGCAAACGGGUUUUGAUUCCUUACCCGUACCCGGCCGCACCAGGGUCGCAAACGAGUACCCGUACCCGGCCGUACCCGUACGGGUAUCGGGUACCUGAUUGCGACCUCUGGGAUGAAGCCAUGUUGCAGGCGCGGGUGGGUUGAUUCUAGGAACUUGAAUUGUGAGAAGAGACAAGACGUUGGGAAAUGAGCGACAAACAGUUACUCACCAGUGACUCACGGUCUACCCGUACCCGUACCCGGCCGCACCGGGUACGGGUACGGGUAUCGGGUACCCGGUUGCGACCUCUGCAGUAAGGGUUGCUGAAAGGGCUGGGAGCCCAGAACCGGUUCAAUUUAACCGUGGACGUGAAUGGAACUCAGUUCGUCGGGUUUACAGCACAGUGGACAUCAAUGGACCGUGAGGGAUGGCGAUGCUUUUAGGUUCUAGAUUUGAAGCUUUCGUGACUGCAAGGAUUCAUAUUCUUAGGUUUUUUCGGUAAAGUCACGUAGGGUAAAAAAGUAAAAUUAAUAAAAGUAAAAAAAAUUUCAGAUAAAAAAUUCAAAUUAAUAAAAGUAAAAUAAUAAUAUUUUUUAUUUUACUUUUAUUCAUUUUAAAUGUUUACCUACGUGACUUUACCGAAAAAACCUAAGAAUAUGCUUUUAGGUGGCCGUCGGUUCAUGGAAGGCCAGCAGCGGCUUGAUGAUGAGCGAUGAGGAAGUGUCUCAAUGUUUGAAACACGUGCGACCAGUCGAGAGAUGACUUCAACGCUGGCGAGUCCGGAAUGUGAGCCCCACCAGUUUCCUGCUCCCAAUUCCCUCCUCCUGUCCCCCUCCGCUUGCCUCCCUCCGGCAGAACAAUUGCAGGAUGUGUGCAAAUUGAAAUGUACAACUGCUGAUUGUGCUCCGUUGAAUAUGGAAUAUUCACGUGUGCAUUAGGUACGUUUUGUCAUGCACAUUUGAAACAUUUCCCUCAUGCUGAGAGACGUAAACGUUUUGGUUUUACAUUUGUGAAGUGGCUACUCACCAGAUUCCCUUGCCAGUUUUAAACCGGUUACGAUUGGUCAGUGUCAGUUGAACAUUAAAAUAUCUGCCAAACAUUUUUUGUGAUUUUCUUUUUUACCAGUGAUGUCCGUUCAUGGUGUAUUUACGGGACUAGAUUUGAAGCUUUCGUGACUGCAAGGAUUCAUACUCUUAGGUCUUUCGGUAAAGUCACGUCGGUAAAAAAAUAAAUAGUUAAAGAUACAGCAAUCGUGCUGUGACGGUUCCACCUGAAGACGGAAGCUUGUGUUGCCUCCGAAACGUCGUGAUUUUUAUUUUAUUUCUAUUAUUUCUUCUAUAAUUUUUAGUUAUUAAUCUGUUAUUAUUUAUUUAUUUUAUCUACGUGACUUUACCGAAAACACCUAAGAGUAUUUACGGGACUGUCUGAACCAGUGCUAUCCUUCAGGGUGCCAUGGUGGCGUGGAGGUGUUACCCGCCUCGCCUGUUACACAGGAGGUCGGAGGUUCCAGCCUCCUGGGACAAAAUCACCAGCUUAGUUUGCAUGUUCUCUCUCCCCAUGGUAGCCGCGUCGAUUUUUGUUUCACCGGUUUCCCCUCCGAGUUUCACCAGAACCAUUUAUAAAAAUGUGUUUAGAUUAUUUGGCUUCGACUCUCACUUCCCACGUGUGAUGAUGAUGAUGAUAUAAGUCACUUCGAUGAGCCAGGAGACCAGGUCGACUGAAAAAGAGCUUAGAGCUCAGUGGGCUUCACCUGGUAUGUAAAAUAGUUUUCAUGUAAUAAAAAAAAACAGGUUUUACAUCAUCUUAAUUUCAAUGUUUAAAUAAACAUAUAGAAUAUAGAUGUGUAUACAUCUUUUUUUUUACCAACGUAACUUUACCGAAAAAACCUAAGAAUAUGAAUCCUUGCAGUCACGAAAGCUUCAAAUCUAGAAUGUGUAUACAGCUUUAAAAAAGUUAUACUUUUAUCAUGAAUAGCAAUUGCCGUGUCUGUUAACAGCAUUAGUUAAUUCAUUUUUUUUAUUUCGGUUCGAAUUUAUUUUGUCCUCAACUUGGCAUUGUUUGAAGCUAUGGUUACUAGGUGACGAUAAUAAAAAUGCCUACAGUGUGUACGAAGCAAGUUUUAUGCAGGUCAUAAAAGAGGGACUGUAUCCCAGAAUGUCAAUAGCUUCUCGACUGCUUCGAUUUCAAACAGUAUCCAGUCAAUUCCCAUAAAUUCGACAAUAAACUGAAGGGACUGCAUUAGCAGUGAUUGACAGGCACAACUCAAAAGCACACUCAACAAAGCUGCAAAAUAACAGCGCAAUAUAUAGCUGGAUGACGUUUCAAGUAACGUCCCUUCUUCGGAGCAGAGAGAGAGAAAGAGAGCCCCCAUAGAUAUAUUGACCGAUUUGUGGUGGCAGAUCGCACCUCACGCUGAGUCUCGGGAAACGUGAAGAUUUUGUUGUUUUUUCUUGGAUGUUUCUGUUGCGCGACGUCACUUUGAGAUGUUCUUUGUUCAUGUGUUUGUUUGUUACGGUUGCACCCGAGUCAAGAGCCUCAUGGCUCACA
Molecule: long non-coding RNA, 3108 nt
Organism: Lethenteron reissneri (Far Eastern brook lamprey)
Lineage: Eukaryota; Metazoa; Chordata; Hyperoartia; Petromyzontiformes; Petromyzontidae
Source: RefSeq, a predicted model, not a curated record